UCUUCACAGUUUUAGACUCGUAUAAAUAUGACAGUUCAUAGUCCUCGAGGCUUCGCAGCAAUCGCUGUCUUCCUUGUCUCCCAUGCUUCUCCCUGCUUCUCCCCAUCUUCACCUUCUCUGCCAUUAGAUCUGUCAUUGAAAAUGAUAAAUUUCACUUCUUUGAUUGCCUGGAAAGCUUCACAACUCUCGGAUUCCGAUUCUUCUUAUUAAUUACACAAUUCCAGUAUCGAUUCUUCUUCCCUGGAUCUAGUUCUCAUCGGAUCGUGAUUGGAGAUGGAAGGUGGUGGUGGUGAUGGUGGAAUGAAAUUGGGGACUUUGAGGUUGAGGGACGAUCGAGGUCCCCGCGUUGGACAAUUUGGAACAGAGGCGUCUACUUUGGAUGUUGAGGUCUCUGUUUCUUCGCCGGUGACUCGUCAGAAAGCUGCUGCAGCUAAGCAGUUUAUUGAGAAUCAUUAUAAGAACCAUCUUCAAGGCCUUCAAGAUCGUAAAGAGAGACGGUGGGCACUUCAAAGGAGAGCAAAAGAAGCUCAAAUUUCAAAUGAGGAACAGCAAGAGAUGAUGAGGAAUUUGGAACAGAGAGAGACUGAGUAUAUGCGAUUGCAAAGACAUAAAGUGGGCAUCGACGACUUUGAGCUAUUAGCAGUAAUUGGAAAAGGUGCAUUCGGUGAGGUAAGACUUUGCCGUGCUAAAAACACUGGAGAAGUUUUUGCCAUGAAGAAGUUGAAGAAAUCAGAAAUGCUUAGUCGUGGACAGGUUGAGCAUGUUAGAUCUGAGAGGAACUUACUAGCUGAGGUUGACAGCCAUUCCAUUGUAAAACUAUUCUAUUCUUUCCAAGAUUCUGAAUUUCUUUACCUUAUCAUGGAGUAUUUACCUGGUGGUGACAUCAUGACCCUUCUAAUGAAAGCGGAUGUUCUUUCUGAAGAUGUUUCACGAUUUUACAUAGCAGAGAGCAUUCUAGCCAUUCAUUCUAUUCACCAGCAUAACUAUAUUCACAGGGACAUAAAGCCAGAUAACUUGUUGUUGGACAAAAAUGGACAUUUGAAGCUCUCAGAUUUUGGCUUGUGUAAGCCCCUGGAUUGUAAAUAUUCAACAAUUUUGAUGGAUAAUGAAGUCUUCAGUAUACAGGAAUCGGACAAAAUUGAAACUGAAGGACAUUCUGACAGAGGUCCUUGGCUAAUGCCAAAAGAACAAUUACAGCAAUGGAAACGCAAUCGACGAGUAUUGGCUUAUUCUACUGUUGGAACUCUUGAUUAUAUGGCCCCUGAAGUAUUGCUGAAGAAAGGAUAUGGAGUGGAAUGUGAUUGGUGGUCUUUGGGGGCAAUAAUGUAUGAGAUGCUUAUAGGUUAUCCUCCCUUCUGUUCAGAUGAUCCAAGGAUGACGUGCAAAAAGCAGAUAAUAAACUGGAGAACAUGCUUGAAAUUCCCUGAGGAACCAAAAAUAUCAGAAGAGGCUAGAGAUCUGAUAUACCGUUUACUAUGUGAUGUUGACUCAAGGUUGGGGACCAGAGGAGUAGAGGAAAUAAAGGCACACCCAUGGUUUAGAUGGAUUCAAUGGGACAUGUUGUACGAAAUGGAAGCUGCCUACAAGCCCACAGUGAAUGGAGAAUUAGAUACUCAAAAUUUUGAGAAGUUUGAUGAAGUAGAAGGUCCAUCAUCAACAUUGCCAAGAGUAGGGCCUUGGCGCAAGAUGUUGACAUCAAAAGAUGCCAAUUUCAUAGGGUACACUUACAAGAAAUCAGAUGUGCGAAAAUCAAUUGGAACUUCAGUUGCUGUCCUGCUUCCUGGAAAGGAUGAGUAAUCUUUGAUAUCUUUUCUGUUUAAAAUGGAAAAGAAAUAUUAAGUUCAUUUCCAUGCACCUUGCCAGUGAUAACAGACUUAUGGGACUUGCAGGUACAGACCUGAAACCAAAUCGUUCCUCUAAGACAUCCUCCAUUGUUUCCUUGUUUGGGCAAGUUGAUCUGCAAGAAAGCGUGAAUCCAAAUGGUGAUGACGCCUGUUAAUAUUUUCUAGUUUCUUUCCUAUUAGAGCAAGCAUUCCUUUUUUCUUAUGUCUCAUCCAAGAAGCUGUUGUAGGAAGUGAAAAAGCUUUUUUUUUUUCCUCUCGAUUGUUCUUCACAAAUGUGGAUAUAUAGCUGAUCUAGUCCUGGUCACCUUUGUCCCUCCAAAAAAAAUUUUGUUAUGUAAAUGAUUUCACAGGAAGAAUAUGACUUCCUUUAUGUUCCCUUGAAAUGUUUUGUAAGGAUAUGGAUAGGAAGUAACAUUCAGUUUUUCCAA
RNA transcript from Macadamia integrifolia, 2272 nucleotides. It is a transcript of the gene named serine/threonine-protein kinase tricornered-like, with no coding region annotated. The transcript has 13 exons. The record is from RefSeq and is a predicted model, not a curated record. NCBI's taxonomy places the organism in Eukaryota, Viridiplantae, Streptophyta, Magnoliopsida, Proteales, Proteaceae.